CAAUGGCAUGAAUACAGGCAAGUUACCUAAACUCUCUGAGUUUUUGUUUCAUCGUCAGUGAAAUUAUAAUACCUCAUAGGGUCAUUGAGGAGGAUUGAAGAAGAUAAUAUAUUUAUAGUUCUUGGUAUUGUGCCCAAAACAUGUUAGUCAUUAUAAUUAUUAAUAAAUGUGUGAGGAAGAUGCAGCAGAACUAGGCAGUGGAAGAGAUUUCCACUGGAGUUCCUUUGUAGUCUGGGAGCUGAGAGUCACAUAAAAAUCACAAAGCAAGUAUAACUAUGGGGCUGUCAUAUUUUCUUUGGGAGAAGGAUUUAUAAUUAUUGUGUAGGCAACACAUUUCUAAUAAUCCUUGCUCUUGGAAAGAGAAGAAAUAAGAAAUCAAGACAGAAAAAGAUAAAUAGCAUGUGUGCUUAUUUUUUGAGUAAGGAGAAGAGGAGAGAAAAUGUAUUGAAGUUCAUAGGUCCAGGAGAGAGGUUACUUUGUCCAGGGAAAUGUAGCUUCUCUGCAGUGACAAUGUUCUAAGCUGGAGGCUUAGUUGAAAACAGGUGUAUUUCUUUAGGGCGGGGGCUUUUGUCUGCUUUUUUCCCUUCUUUUUAAUCAUGUAGAACAUCUGCCAUGUGGUAGGUAUUGUAGUCAGCAAAUAUUUGUUGAAUAAUGAAUGAUGAAGAGAUGGAGGUGCUUUCACCAAGCUUCAAAAUUCUGGGUUCAGAAUUUCUGCCUGAGGUCCAGGCACAUGCUGUAUUGAGUUCCUUCCAUUUGCUGCCUACAAAGCAGCCUUGUAUUUUUCUUGUCAUCAUUAGAGAAGCUAAUUAGAAAAGCUAAUCAAUGGCUGAUGAACUGAUUGAUGGAGAUAGAUUUCUCAAGCCAGAGUUUGAAAGAAAAGAAUGGAUUCUUUCGGCUUUGUGAGCAGCUAUUUUUAGUCAGCAGGUGUUGCAGCUUUUAAGAAACAUUUGGCAGUGUUUCCUUCUACUUCCAUUUUAUCCAAAAUAUGUAACUUUCAUCCCUUCCAUUACAGAAACAUGCUGCUUUGUGUUUUCUGAGUAGAAAAGAGGAUUAUGGGAAAGAAUAAUCAGGAAAAAUUUAUGAAGUGCUUAGCACGGAAGCUGGCCCCACGGUUAAUGGACAGUCAGUAAGAGAGAAGAUAGAAAUGCCAUCAAAGAGGGUGGCUGGGGAAGGAGAUGGCUGGUAAAACCUGCUCCCUGCCCAGCGUAGAUGGGAUUUCUCUGCAUCACUGUAGAUAAUGUGUUGCUUCCAGCUUCCCCAGUUGGAAUCAGUUCCGGUACCCAGAGCCUUGGCUUAUAAUUUCAGAUGUCAAUACUGUUAGUUAAGGAAGGGCCAAUCGGUUUUCUUUGUGCAUUGCUUAAAAACAAACAAAUCCCCUCCAAAUCAAUUGGUGAAAACACAAUGACUCAAUGCUUUGAAAAAUGUGUCCCUGGGAAAACCAUACGAUACAUGGUUCUGAGAACUUCACCUCCAGAGCAAUUAUUUCCCAGGAUACAUUUCCAGAUUUAUGCCAGAGGUGGAUUAAGUGUAAGCCACAGAUAUUAUUAGCUUGCUCUGUGUUCAUAUGUUCCACUGUGAGGUGCCACACUUAGGUCUUUGACAAAGACAAAGACUGGAAAUGUCUUGCUUCUUGGAGGACAGUUGUGGAAAUCAAUCAAAUACACUAGUGUCUUGUUUCAACUGGCUGUGCAUUGUCUUGGUUAUGGGUCAUGUUCUGACUGCUACUGCAAAGAGUGGGGAAUGGCGAGGCAAGUUGUGAUGACUGUCAGCCAGGGCUCUCCAGAGAAACAGAGACAAUAGGACACACACACACAAAGUAAAUAUUAAUUUAUAUAUAUAUUGAAAGAGUGAAAGAGAGAGGGAGGAGGUUUAUUUUAAGGAUUCAACUCACAUGGUUUUGGGGACAGGCAUGUCCAAAAUCUGCAGGGCAGGUCAGCAGGCUGGAAACUCAGGCAGGAUGUUCAUUACAGUUGUGAGGUAAAAUUCUUUCUCUAUGAAACGUUAGUUUUUGCUUGUAAGGCCUUCACCUGAUUGGAUAAUAGUGAGACCCACUCUCAUUAUUAAGGGUAAUCUGCCUUACUUAAGGUCAGCUUAUUGUCAGAUGUCAGUCACAUCUCUAAAUACCCUCAUAACAACACCUAGACUAGAGUUUGGCUGAAUAACUGGGCACCAUAACCCAGCCAGGAUGACACAUACAAUUAACUGGUGGUGAUGAUGACAUUGACUGUGUUGUUUGUGGCCCUCAGAUAUCCUAGAAUGACCAUGUAUCAGUCAUUGGGCCAAGUGCUUUACAUGCAUUAUCCUGUUUAAUAUUGUUAAGCCUUCAUUUCCAUCUUAAAGAUGAAGAUACCAGGUCAGAGAGGCUGCCGCACUGCACAGAGUCACAGAGAGACCUGAGUGGCUUGCCAGGGCUUGGUUUUAAAGUCCAUGCUAUCAUGUAGCAUUUUAUACAGAAGAUAUUAGUUGAUACCUUUUUGUUUCCUCCCAGUGAUAGAAACCUGACCGAGGGAUGCAGUUUACUGUCUCUUGUUCUCAGGAUGUCUAAGGUGACGGGUUUUAGGCACAACAAGACCCAGGAGCUAAAAGGAUGUUGUCAGGACUCUGCCUUUUGCUCCAUCUCUUGGUUCUACUUAUUUCCUCUUAGCUUUAUUCUGUGAACAGUCUCCCCCUAUGAGGAAGGUAGAAUUCAUAUCCUCUGACUUAGCAAGUACUGUAGAAAGGGGCUUUGUUUGCUCUUCCAUGGUUGUAUAGCCAUUCCAGAAUGGCCUUGCUUGAUUAUGUGCUUAUUCCUAGUGUAACUCCCAGGGCCAGAAUAUACAGCUCUGUGGUUUGUGCUGCCUAGCUUUUGGGUCUAAGUCUGGGUUGGUGGCAUGGAGGUCUGGGAGUCCGGGCAUGGUGACGGAAAGCCACACUAGGACAAGAGAGGUGUGGGAGGACACUGACCCCCACUCAGGCCCCGUACCGCUGGCAGUUCCGUAGACACCUCCUUGGCAAGGAAAGCCCCCUAUGGGUACCUCCUAGGACUGGACUGGGUGGGACAGAUUUGUAUCUUCCCAGGGGCAGAGAUGCCUUGAAGCCAUUGGUAGGAGCCCCCUUUUUUUUGUCCCUUGGCCUGUUUGGGAAGCAAGCCAGCCCAAAACUCUUUAGACUUUAAAUGUGGAAUUAAAAAUUUUUCCCUCUGAUUCAAAGCAAAGGACCUAGGCAAACUUCUUUUCAAGCUUUAAUGCUAAAUUAGCUUCCCAGGAGGUACCCAAACAUCAAAGGCUGUCUUAGGAAAGGAUAUGGUACUGCCUAAUGCUCGUAUCACCUCAUCCUCUCUAACUGCAGAUGGCAAAAACUACUCUGAAAUAUGGUUGUUUGUAUUCCUAUCUUAUCUUCCUACAAUCUUAUCUUCCUUCGACUGUGAGCUAUUAAGGGGGCAGGGCCCAAUCUUAUUUCUUUUAGUAACUCCCUACAGUUCUAGCAUAGAUUUCUGUCACAGUGGGCACUCAGUAAGUGCUUUUGAGCAAGUGAAUGAAUCUGAGUCAUUAUAGAGUAAAAUCAUCCAUUGUGUGUUGCACUCAGAGAGUUCUCCAGGGGAAAUUUUUAAAGGGGCAGAGCCCAGAACAGGGCGAAGGGCACUGGUCUGGGUCAGACUGCCUGGUUUGAGUCCUUUACCCUGAUGUUUUCUAAACAUCCUUACCAUUAUCUAUCCAAUGGAGAUUAUAACAGUAUCUAUCCCACAGAGAUCUCAUGAGGGUAUAGUCUAAGCACCUGGCCCAUGGUUAUUAGUCAGUAAAUAUUGGCUGUUAUAAUUACAGUUAACCCUUGAACAGUGUGGGAUUAGAGUUGUUAAAGCUCCUUGCAGUGGAAAAUCCAUGUAUAACUUGCCAUCAGCCCUCCUUAUACUUGGUUCCUCUGUAUUUGUGGUUUUUGCAUUAUUGGAUUCAACCAACAGUGGAUUGGGUAGCAAUGUGGUAUUUACUGUUGAAAAAACUCUAUGUCUAGUGGACUUGUGGGGUUCAAAUUGUGUUGUUAAAGGGACAACUGUACUGUUGUUUUUACUUUUUUUUUUUUUUUUUUUUUUUUUUUUUUUUUUUUUGGUCUUUUUGCCUUUUCUAGGGCCACCUCGGCAUCUGCAGCUUCAAUUUGAUCCCUUAUCUGGGAACCUCCAUAUGCCACAGGUGUGGCCCUAAAAAAAGCAAAAACAGAAGAAGAUAGUUGGUGACAGUACUGGGAAGACAAAUUUCGAUAAGGGAAUACCUGAUAAUUAUUAACGGUAUUUUUUAAAUAGAAUUAAUAGUCAUAAAGAAAAGCCUCAAUAAUUCAUGUAUAAGUUUAUGUCACUUUAUAGCUGACAUUUUAAAAAAGUCAACUGUUGAGUUGUGAUGGAGCACGAUGGAGGAUAAUGUGAGAAAAGGAAUGUAUAUGUGUAUGUGUGUGUGUGUGUUAGCCUGGGUCACUUUACUGUAUAGUAAAAAUUGAAAGAACACUGUAAACCAACUAUAACAGAAAAAAUAAAAAUCAUUACAAAAAUACAAAAAUAAAAAGCCAAUUAUACUUUUUAAAAAAAUUUGAUUGUACCCGUGGCACAUGGAAGUUCCUGCCAAGGAUCAAACCUGCACCACAGCAGUGACCAGAGCAGCUGCUGUGACAAUGCUGGAUCCUUAACCCACUGCACCAUAAGGGAAUUCCCUUUAAAAGUCACUUGUAAAGUGAAUCCUGGCCUUAAUAAAUGCAAAGUUGCUUUUGGUUUGGAAAAAAACUCAUUUCCUAAUUAUAAAACUUCUAAUUUACUUUUUUGGGGCAAUAUUUGAUUAACAUAUAAAUAUCAAACACAAGAGUAAAAUAAACUUAUAUUUUAUGGUUUUAUCUAAAUUAAAAUGAUUCUUUUCUGAUUUGUCAUAUGAAACAAAUUUCAUGAUAUGAGAUUUUCUUAUGUUUCACUCAACAAUGAGAUACGGAAUUCAGGGUCACAAUGUAGCCCCCUGUAGAUGCCUGUGGUGAAAACUCAGUCACUCUCAAAUAAUUUAUGUGCAGAUUCUGUGAAGAAAACCUACCAAUCUGUCCCACUGGAUGGAUUUUACUCUCCAGCAAAUACCCUUGUUACCUCAGUGAACAAAUCUGAAUACAAUAAGGGGUUUCUUACUUUUUCGGUAUUUUAGUUAAUGUUAGAAUUUCUAACAAUGAGAUAUGGUAAGACAAAAUAGCAAAAUUGGAACCAUAGAAAGGGAUGGAAAUUCAGGAUUAGUUAUAAUAAUUGUAGUGUUUCAGAACAAAGCCAACAGAAUUAGAUUUUAUUUCAUUUGUAUGAAUACUAAUCACUAAUGGGAAAGAGUUACCCCCACAGCUUAAUCAUGUCCAAAUAGAGAGUUUGAAUAGAUAACACAAUUAGCCAAGCCAUUGUGACUCUCACUCAAUCCUCAACAUUCACCACUAACUAUUGACUAGUGAAUGUCCUGUCACUGAGUUGUGGGAACCAACACUUUAUCUGCAUCUACUAAGUGCUGGGUAUUAUGUAUCUCAUUUAAUCUAUACAACAACCUGUACAAAUUAUCAGUUACCGAAUGGCUGGUCAUUAUCAACUCCAUUUCAACAGGAGGAAACUGAGGUUCAGAGGAGUUACAGAAGUUGUUCAAGGUUAUGUGAACAAUACUGUAGUUGAUAUUCAAACCAAGAUCUGUUUUAUUACAAAGCCCUUGUUCCUUUUUCAGCCAGUAAUUUUCAAGUGCUUUAGAUAGUGAUAUUACUCUUUUUUUUUGUCCUUCUUUGCCUUUUUUUUGGGCUGCUCCUGUGGCAUAUGGAGGUUCCCAGGCUAGGGGUCCAAUUGGAGCUGUAGCCGUCGGCCUACACCAGAGCCAUAGCAACUCAGGAUCUGAGCCGUGUCUGUGACCUACACCACAGCUCACGGCAACGCCAGAUCCUUAACCCACUGAGCAAGGCCAGGGAAUUGAACCUGCAACCUCAUGGUUCCUAGUCGGAUUCGUUAACC
This 5971-nucleotide long non-coding RNA is filed under the name Sus scrofa (pig). RNAcentral's name for it is "lncRNA (ENSSSCG00035050471.1)". Lineage: Eukaryota; Metazoa; Chordata; Mammalia; Artiodactyla; Suidae. The record is from RNAcentral.